This 435-nucleotide ribosomal RNA is filed under the name uncultured bacterium. RNAcentral describes it as "partial 16S ribosomal RNA". It matches the Rfam family "Bacterial small subunit ribosomal RNA", at positions 29 to 507 of the family's 1533-position model. The record is from RNAcentral.
AGCGAACGCUGGCGGCAGGCUUAACACAUGCAAGUCGAGCGGGCACUUUCGGGUGUCAGCGGCGGACGGGUGAGUAACGCGUGGGAACGUGCCCUCUGGUUCGGAAUAACUCAGGGCAACUUGAGCUAAUACCGGAUACGCCCUUUUGGGGAAAGGCUUGCUGCCGGAGGAUCGGCCCGCGUCUGAUUAGCUAGUUGGUGAGGUAACGGCUCACCAAGGCGACGAUCAGUAGCUGGUCUGAGAGGAUGAUCAGCCACACUGGGACUGAGACACGGCCCAGACUCCUACGGGAGGCAGCAGUGGGGAAUAUUGGACAAUGGGCGCAAGCCUGAUCCAGCCAUGCCGCGUGAGUGAUGAAGGCCUUAGGGUUGUAAAGCUCUUUUAUCCGGGACGAUAAUGACGGUACCGGAGGAAUAAGCCCCGGCUAACUUCGUG